RNAcentral lists this long non-coding RNA (351 nucleotides) under Rattus norvegicus (Norway rat). RNAcentral describes it as "long non-coding RNA NONRATT027275". The record is from RNAcentral. Lineage: Eukaryota; Metazoa; Chordata; Mammalia; Rodentia; Muridae.
CAUGACUGCAUUAACACACUUUUGCAUCUAGAACAUAUAUAUGAACGUGUCUCUUAUCUAUGCACCAGACUUUUCUACUCAAUUGUAAGUUUGAGAGACAUGAAGGUCACCAUUUACCUCAUCAGCAUCUCAAAACCUGAGACAAUUAAUGACCAGGGAAGAGAGACAUUACUCAACACCAUUAUCUCUAGUUGUGCCCAUGUUCCUACACAGGGCUGUGGUGUGUGCAUCCAUUGCAGAAACUUCUUAAUUUUCCGUCUUCUCAUUUCCCAGUUUUGGGAUUGUUUCCUGUGCUCUGGAGUCCUACUUAAAACAUCUCUGCCUAUGGCUUUAUCUUCAAGUGUCUUUCCU